GAUGCCAUGCUGCAUAUCCUGGAGAAACAUCCAGUAAACUCUGAAAACACAAAAGUCUGUGAAAAGGUUAUAACAACAGCCACUAUCCAUGGCAACCAAUGCAAUGGUGUGUCGAGUUUGCGUAGCAGGGACAAAUUUGUACAUGUCUCAGAGACAGAAACCAAGUUCUAGUUCCAGAACUACACUCUCAGAUGUCAGUAUUUUAA
Salvelinus sp. IW2-2015 is the source of this 206-nucleotide non-coding RNA. NCBI's taxonomy places the organism in Eukaryota, Metazoa, Chordata, Actinopteri, Salmoniformes, Salmonidae. The record is from RefSeq and is a predicted model, not a curated record.